UACGAAGGGGGCUAGCGUUGCUCGGAAUCACUGGGCGUAAAGGGCGCGUAGGCGGCCAUUCAAGUCGGGGGUGAAAGCCUGUGGCUCAACCACAGAAUUGUCUUCGAUACUGUUUGGCUUGAGUUUGGUAGAGGUUGGUGGAACUGCGAGUGUAGAGGUGAAAUUCGUAGAUAUUCGCAAGAACACCAGUGGCGAAGGCGGCCAACUGGACCAAUACUGACGCUGAGGCGCGAAAGCGUGGGGAGCAAACAGG
This 253-nucleotide ribosomal RNA is filed under the name uncultured bacterium. RNAcentral's name for it is "partial 16S ribosomal RNA". It matches the Rfam family "Bacterial small subunit ribosomal RNA", at positions 524 to 776 of the family's 1533-position model. The record is from RNAcentral.